This 235-nucleotide unclassified non-coding RNA is filed under the name fungal sp. Its description in RNAcentral is "partial internal transcribed spacer region". The stretch from base 1 to 46 matches the Rfam family "Eukaryotic small subunit ribosomal RNA", at positions 1786 to 1831 of the family's 1831-position model. The record is from RNAcentral. Lineage: Eukaryota; Fungi.
AAGUCGUAACAAGGUCUCCGUUGGUGAACCAGCGGAGGGAUCAUUAAAGAGUUGUAAAACUCCAACCAUUGUUAACCUUACUGUCAUUCGUUUCCUCGGCGGGCGGCUUCGCCCUAACCGCGACCCCUUUGCGGGGGGAGCGACCCGCCGGGGGCACUGAACUCUUAUUAUUAUGGCUUCUGUGAGUAUACUUUUAAAUAAGUUAAAACUUUCAACAACGGAUCUCUUGGUUCUG